CGCGGCCUAUCAGCUUGUUGGUGGGGUAAUGGCCCACCAAGGCGAAGACGGGUAGCCGAACUUAGCGGUUGAUCGGCCACACUGGGACUGAGACACUGCCCAGACUCCUACGGGAGGCUGCAGUCGAGAAUCUUCCGCAAUGGACGAAAGUCUGACGGAGCGACGCCGCGUGCAGGAUGAAGGCCUUCGGGUUGUAAACUGCUGUCAGAUGUUAUGAACAAGUACAGGUUAAUAUCCUGUGCCCUGACAAAAGCAUCAGAGGAAGCCACGGCUAACUUCGUGCCAGCAGCCGCGGUAAGACGAAGGUGGCAAGCGUUGUUCGGAAUCACUGGGCAUAAAGCGCGCGUAGGUGGCUUAGCAAGCGGGGAAUGAAAUCCCAUGGCUCACCCAUGGAACUGUUUCCCGAACUGCUUCGCUUGAGGACGGGAGGGGAGAGUGGAAUUCCUGGUGUAGCGGUGAAAUGCGUAGAUAUCAGGAGGAACGCCGGUGGCGAAAGCGACUCUCUGGCCCGUUCCUGACACUGAGGCGCGAAAGCUAGGGGAGCAAACAGGAUUAGAUACCCUGGUAGUCCUAGCCGUACACUAUGGGCACUGGGUUGAGGGGGAGUCAAUGCCUUCUCAGCCGUAGCUAAUGUGUUAAGUGCCCCGCCUGGGGAGUACGG
Molecule: ribosomal RNA, 661 nt
Filed under: uncultured bacterium
Lineage: Bacteria
Description: bacterial SSU rRNA
Rfam family: Bacterial small subunit ribosomal RNA
Source: RNAcentral